UACGGGGGGUGCGAGCGUUAAUCGGAAUUACUGGGCGUAAAGGGUGCGUAGGUUGUUUAACAAGUUAUCUGUGAAAAACCCGGGCUUAACCUGGGGAAGUCAGCUAAGACUGUUAGACUAGAGUAUAGGAGAGGGCAGUGGAAUUUCCGGUGUAGCGGUGAAAUGCGUAGAUAUCGGAAGGAACACCGGUGGCGAAGGCGGCUGUCUGGCCUGAUACUGACACUGAGGCACGAAAGCGUGGGUAGCAAACAGG
RNAcentral lists this ribosomal RNA (253 nucleotides) under uncultured bacterium. RNAcentral's name for it is "partial 16S ribosomal RNA". It matches the Rfam family "Bacterial small subunit ribosomal RNA", at positions 524 to 776 of the family's 1533-position model. The record is from RNAcentral.